GUGCUUACUUGGGCAGCACAUAUACUAAAAUUGGAAUGAUAUAGAGAAGAUUAGAAUGGUCACUGCACAAGGAUGACAUGCAAAAUUGUGAAGCAUUCCAUAUAGGA
Molecule: small nuclear RNA, 107 nt
Filed under: Zalophus californianus (California sea lion)
Lineage: Eukaryota; Metazoa; Chordata; Mammalia; Carnivora; Otariidae
Also listed under: 1 other name
Source: RNAcentral